Molecule: transfer RNA, 74 nt
Filed under: Takifugu rubripes (torafugu)
Lineage: Eukaryota; Metazoa; Chordata; Actinopteri; Tetraodontiformes; Tetraodontidae
Also listed under: 2 other names
Description: transfer RNA-Val
Rfam family: tRNA
About the family: Transfer RNA (tRNA) molecules are approximately 80 nucleotides in length. Their secondary structure includes four short double-helical elements and three loops (D, anti-codon, and T loops). Further hydrogen bonds mediate the characteristic L-shaped molecular structure. tRNAs have two regions of fundamental functional importance: the anti-codon, which is responsible for specific mRNA codon recognition, and the 3' end, to which the tRNAs corresponding amino acid is attached (by aminoacyl-tRNA synthetases). tRNAs cope with the degeneracy of the genetic code in two manners: having more than one tRNA (with a specific anti-codon) for a particular amino acid; and 'wobble' base-pairing, i.e. permitting non-standard base-pairing at the 3rd anti-codon position.
Source: RNAcentral
CGGAGCAUAGCUUAACAGCUUAAAGCACCUCCCUUACACCGAGUUGACGCCCGUGCAAAUCGAGCUGCCCCGAC